UUAACUAACCAUCCCCAAGCAUUUAUUACAACUUAUUACAAACCAGAAUGAAUAAAAUUACAUCAGAAAAAUACAAAUAAAAGUAAACUAGACUUCCUCAUUGAGUUAUGAGGUAAAUCAACUCCAAGACCAUCGAUCCAAAAUCUUUCUCCAACCUGGGUGCAUCAAAGUUCCCUAAGAGCCUCAAUAGGACUCCGAGCAAUGCUCACACCUAAGUUGUAUUAUCAGAAUGGGGAUAAGUGUAGUGUGAAAGGGCCAGACCUCAAGUGUCCAAGUUUAGAGGGAGUUCAAGUCAAGUCUCACAAGAGGUGGGCAGAACUUAAAGUCUAAGAGAGUGUGCAAGUGAAGAACAGAGUUCUGGGGAAUAAAGGAGAGGAAAACAGCCACAAACAGGUACAUAAAGAGGUUCAAGGGAAUAAGGAAGUCGCAAAGAGCCUAUUGCUUAUGCUAGGGCAAGCUUUAGGCAUGCCCAGUAAUGGGGGAUGUUGGCAUGCCUAUAAACCUACCAGAAUACACAAUAUUAGAGGCUAUGAUCCCAGGGAAUCAAGUUUGAGUCAUGGGCAAUAACUUUCAGUACUGCCAUGCCUCAAACAUAGCAUGAAUACAUAGGGGUGGGGAUUUAGGGUUCAGAGUCCAGAACAGACAGAAGAAAAUUAUAACAUGCCAAAAUAUAUAUUGAACUAAACACAAGCAACAGAUAGAAAAAAGAGUAAAAGUAUAGUAAACAUAUUUGGGUGAUGCUAGAAUCUUAUCCAGAACAUACUAUUUCAAGGAAGAAAAAUGCAAUAAAAGCAAGUAGCAUGAGUUGAGAAACAGGCCACAGUUCAAGUAACAAAAGAGAAUGUUUUUUGAGUGUGAGUGUGAG
RNAcentral lists this long non-coding RNA (865 nucleotides) under Nicotiana benthamiana. Its description in RNAcentral is "long non-coding RNA (NBEN_LNC029581)". Lineage: Eukaryota; Viridiplantae; Streptophyta; Magnoliopsida; Solanales; Solanaceae. The record is from RNAcentral.